This 254-nucleotide ribosomal RNA is filed under the name uncultured bacterium. RNAcentral's name for it is "partial 16S ribosomal RNA". It matches the Rfam family "Bacterial small subunit ribosomal RNA", at positions 524 to 776 of the family's 1533-position model. The record is from RNAcentral.
UACGUAGGGACCAAGCGUUGUUCGGCUUUACUGGGCGUAAAGGGCGCGUAGGCGGCUAUUCAAGUCAUCUGUGAAAUCUCCGGGCUUAACUCGGAACGGUCAGGUGAUACUGCUUUGCUAGAGUGCGGAAGGGGCAAUCGGAAUUCUUGGUGUAGCGGUGAAAUGCGUAGAUAUCAAGAGGAACACCUGAGGUGAAGACGGGUUGCUGGGCCGACACUGACGCUGACAGCGCGAAAGCCAGGGGAGCAAACGGG